Molecule: ribosomal RNA, 433 nt
Filed under: uncultured bacterium
Lineage: Bacteria
Description: partial 16S ribosomal RNA
Rfam family: Bacterial small subunit ribosomal RNA
Source: RNAcentral
AACGAACGCUGGCGGCAUGCCUAACACAUGCAAGUCGAACGAGACCUUCGGGUCUAGUGGCGCACGGGUGCGUAACGCGUGGGAACCUGCCCUUAGGUUCGGAAUAACUCCCCGAAAGGGGUGCUAAUACCGGAUAAUGUCUUCGGACCAAAGAUUUAUCGCCUUUGGAUGGGCCUGCGUUGGAUUAGCUAGUUGGUAGGGUAAAAGCCUACCAAGGCGACGAUCCAUAGCUGGUCUGAGAGGAUGAUCAGCCACACUGGGACUGAGACACGGCCGAGACUCCUACGAGAGGAAGAAGAGGGGAAUAGUGGAAAAUGGGCGAAAGUCUGAUCAAGCAAUGCCGCGUGAGUGAUGAAGGCCUUAGGGUUGUAAAGAUAUUUGACCCGGGAUGAGAAUGACAGUACAGGGAGAAUAAGCUCAGGCUAACUCCGUG